This 171-nucleotide small RNA is filed under the name Calidris pygmaea (Spoon-billed sandpiper). RNAcentral describes it as "TUC338 (ENSCPGG00000010603.1)". Lineage: Eukaryota; Metazoa; Chordata; Aves; Charadriiformes; Scolopacidae. The record is from RNAcentral.
UUGACAACCCUGGACACUGAUGGCCUCUUUAUCUACAGAGCAGGUGCAACCCAGGCACCGGCACUGAAAACUUCUGCCGCCUGCCUAGGGGCCUCCACCCUGGCCAGGAGAGGCCAUCUCUAGGGCUGAGGAGGAGAGCAAUUUCCUCGGUCCAUUCGGUCUUUGGCUUCU